RNAcentral lists this ribosomal RNA (950 nucleotides) under uncultured archaeon. Its description in RNAcentral is "bacterial SSU rRNA". It matches the Rfam family "Archaeal small subunit ribosomal RNA", at positions 1 to 939 of the family's 1478-position model. The record is from RNAcentral.
UUCCGGUUGAUCCCGCCGGACCCGACUGCUAUUUGGGUGAGAAUAAGCCAUGCGAGUUGAAUGGAAUACCUAAAUUUUCCAUAGCAAACUGCUCAGUAACACAUGAUCAACUUACCCUAUAGAGAAAAAUAAUCUCGGGAAACUGAGGAUAAUGUUUCAUAGUUGAAAAGGCUUGGAAAAGUUCUUCAAUCAAAAGGAUAAGAAAAAUGGUUUUUAUCCGCUAUAGGAUAGGAUCGUGGUCGAUUAUGGUUGUUGGUGAGGUAAUGGCUCACCAAGCCGAUAAUCGAUAGGGGCCGUGAGAGCGGGAGCCCCGAGAUGGGUACUGAGACAACGACCCAGGCCCUAUGAGGCGCAGCAGGCGCGAAACCUCCGCAAUACACGAAAGUGUGAUGGGGUUACCCAAAGUGUUCAAUUUUGAACUGUGGUAGGUGAGUAAUGUUCCCUACUAGAAAGGAGAGGGCAAGGCUGGUGCCAGCCGCCACGGUAAAACCAGCUCUUCAAGUGGUCGGGAUAAUUAUUGGGCUUAAAGUGUCCGUAGCCGGUUUAGUAAGUUCCUGGUAAAAUCGGGUAGCUUAACUAUCUGUAUGCUAGGAAUACUGCUAAACUAGAGGGCGGGAGAGGUCUGAGGUACUACAGGGGUAGGGGUGAAAUCUUAUAAUCCUUGUAGGACCACCAGUGGCGAAGGCGUCAGACUGGAACGUGCCUGACGGUGAGGGACGAAAGCCAGGGGAGCGAACCCGAUUAGAUACCCGGGUAGUCCUGGCCGUAAACGAUGCAUACUAGGUGAUGGCAUGGCCAUGAGCCGUGUCAGUGCCGUAGGGAAACCGUUAAGUAUGCCGCCUGGGAAGUACGGUCGCAAGGCUAAAACUUAAAGGAAUUGGCGGGGGAGCACCACAAGGGGUGAAGCCUGCGGUUCAUUGGAUUCAACGCCGGGAAAUCACUAGUGCGGC